RNAcentral lists this ribosomal RNA (253 nucleotides) under uncultured bacterium. RNAcentral's name for it is "partial 16S ribosomal RNA". It matches the Rfam family "Bacterial small subunit ribosomal RNA", at positions 524 to 776 of the family's 1533-position model. The record is from RNAcentral.
UACAGAGACUGCAAGCGUUAUUCGGAUUCACUGGGCGUAAAGGGUGCGCAGGCGGUCGGGUGUGUCAGAUGUGAAAUCCCGAGGCUCAACCUCGGAACUGCGUCUGAAACUACUCGACUAGAGUACUGGAGAGGGUAACGGAAUUCACGGUGUAGCAGUGAAAUGCGUAGAUAUCGUGAGGAACACCAGAGGCGAAGGCAGCCCCCUGGGUCGAUACUGACGCUCAUGCACGAAAGCGUGGGGAGCAAACAGG